GGUUAAGCUGGUAAGAGCACACGGAGGAUGCCUAGGCGCUAGGAGCCGAAGAAGGACGUGGCGAACAACGAUAUGCCCCCGGGGAGUCGUAAGCAGACUUUGAUCCGGGGAUGUCCGAAUGGGGGAACCCGGCUGCGGUUAUGCCAGUCACUCACUUCUGAAUCCAUAGGAAGUGAAGAGGCAGACCAGGGGAACUGAAACAUCUAAGUACCCUGAGGAGAAGAAAACAAUCGUGAUUCCGUCAGUAGCGGCGAGCGAAAGCGGAGGAGCCCAAACGAGCUUGCUCACUGGGUUAUUAAGGACACCUUAUACGGAGUUACAAAGGAGCAGAUUAGGCGAAGAGGUCUGGAAAGACACCACAGAAGGUAACAGCCCUGUAGCUGAAAGUCUCGCUCUCUCUCCAAGGUGGAUCCGAGUACGGCGGGACACAGGAAACCCCGUCGGAAUCCGGCAGGACCAUCUGCAAAGGCUCCAUCUCCCUAGCGACCGAUAGUGAAGCAGUACCGUGAGGGAAAGGUGAAAAGCACGGGAAUUGAAAAAGACCUGAAACCAUUGUGCUUACAAGAAGUCAGAGCCCUAUGAUUUUCUUCGGAAAUCAGGGUGAUGGCGUGCCUUUUUGUAGAAUGAACCGGCGAGUUACGCUUGCAUACGGAGUUAAGGUCAAGCCGGAGCCGCAGCGAAAGCGAGUCUGAACAGGGCAAAGCAUAAACACGGUAACAAUACUUUGUAUUGCUUAAAAUGUCAGGCGUAGACCAAGCUUAAUGAUCUACCCCUGUCAAAUUGAAGGUGAGUAACACUCUCACUGGAGGCCCGAACCCACGAAUGUUGAAAAAUUCGGGGAUGAGGUGGGAAUUGCCAGGCCAAUCGAACUCGGAGAUGGCGGGUUCUCCUCAGAAAUAGCUUUAGGGCUAGCCUCGGGUUAGAGUAAUUAAGGGUAAAGCACUGAUUGGGUGCGGGGCCCGCCAAGGGGUUACCGUCUAGUCAAACUCUGAAUGCCAUCCACUCGGUGCCAGGGUCAGACAGUGAGUGCUAAGAUCCAUUGUCAGAGAGCAGCCCAGAUCAUCAGCUGGGUCCCCAAGUGUGUGUUAAGUGGGAAAGGAUGGAGUUGCACAGGUAACCACGGAUGUUGGCUUAGAAGCAGCCACCAUUUAAAGAGUGCGUAAUAGCUCUGCUGGUCAGUGACUCUGCGCCGAAAAUGUAACGGGGCUAAAUACACCACCGAAGCUAUGGGUCCUAAUUAAGAGACGUGGGGAGCGUUCCAAGCAAUAGAGGUUGACCGACAAUGCCGGACGGCUGGAGCGCUUGUUGCUUAAGGAAUGCCGGUAUGAGCGAAAAGAUCGGUGAGAAUCUGAUCACGCCGAGCCUAAGGGUUCCUGAGGAAGGUUCGUCCGCUCAGGGUAAGUCGGACCCUAAGGCGAGGCCGAAAGGCGUAGUCGAAGGACAACCCAGGCAAAUUCCUGUACCACCAAACACCGCUAUGAGCGAUGGGGUGACACAGUAGGGUAGGGACUCGCUGAUGGAAGUGCUUGUCCAAGCAGUGGAGCUGGUGGCAAAUCCGCACACUGAAAGCCGAAUUUCUCUUGACGGGGAGCGAAAAUAGCAGUAGCGAAGGUCUUGAUCUCACACUGUCAAAGCCUGUAGUUGCCGUACGCAAACCGACACAGGUAGGCGAGAGAGAAUUCAGAGCGCGCGGAAGAACUCUCGUUAAGGAACUCAGCAAGGCGGCCAACUUAAGGAAGGGGGUGCCCCGGUAGAGUGAACCAGCUCGAGGGCGCAUUGAAUAUAGGCCCGGCGACUGUUGCCGAAACACAGAUUUUAUGCGAAGCCGCAAGGCGUAUAUGGGCUGACGCCUGCCUUGGUGGGCUGGAAGGUGAAGAGGGAGUGGUUAGGGGCUUAAGGCCCGAAGCUAUGAACCGAAGCCCCGGUAACUGGCGGCCGUAGCUUAUGGCGGUCUAAAGGUAACGAAAUUCCUUGUCAGGUAAAUUCUGACCCGAAUGGCGUAACGACUUGGGCGCUGUCUCAACGAGAGAUCCGGUGAAAUUUUAAUACCUGUGAAGAUGCAGGUUACCCGCGACGACAAGACGGAAAGAUAUUGCGCGGAGCUUUACUGCAACUGAUAUUGGACAGGCGCGAUCUGUACAGGAUAGGUGAACUGAAGCGGAGCGCCAGCUUCGGUGGAGGCAACGUUGGGAUACCACUCUGAUCGUAUCAGGUUUCUAACCAGGACAAAAUGGCAGUUCGAGGACGAUGUCAGGUGGGCGGUUUGACUGGUCUUAUCUAAAAGGUAACGGAGGCGCCCCAAGGGUUCCCUCAGAAUGGUUGGAAAUCAUUCGAAGGUACGAGCUGAAGGAGCUUGACUGCGAGACCUACAAGUCGAGCAGGGGCGAGUGGAGAAACCAGUGAUCGGUGGUGUACCGCAUGGAAGGGCCGCCAGCUCAACUGGAUAAAAGCUACCCUGGGGAUAACAGGCUUAUCUCCCCGAGUCCCACAUCGACGGGGAGGUUUGGCACACCUCGAUGUCGGCUCAUCGCAUCUAUGGGGCUGAAGAAGUAGGUCCCAAGGGUUGGGCUGUUCGCCCAUUAGAAGCGGUACGCGAGCUGGAGUUCAGAACGUCGUGAGACAGUUCGGUCCCUAUCUGUCGUGGGCGCAGGAAAUUUGAGAGGAGCUGUCCUUAGUACGAGAGGACCGGGAUGGACGUACCGCUGGUGUACCAGUUGUUCCGCCAGGAGCACAGCUGGGUAGCUAUGUACGGAAGGGAUAGCUGACAUCUAGCGUGAAGCCCGCCUCAAGAUGAGAUUUCCCAGUAGUAAGACCCCUUGAAGACGACGAGGUGAUGGGCUAAGGUUUGGGGGUGGAAGCGCAGCAAUGCUGGAGCUGACCAAUACUAAUCGAUUGAGGCUUAUCUAA
This 2907-nucleotide ribosomal RNA is filed under the name Paenibacillus larvae. RNAcentral describes it as "23S ribosomal RNA". It matches the Rfam family "Bacterial large subunit ribosomal RNA". The record is from RNAcentral. Lineage: Bacteria; Bacillati; Bacillota; Bacilli; Caryophanales; Paenibacillaceae.